RNAcentral lists this unclassified non-coding RNA (646 nucleotides) under Hevea brasiliensis (rubber tree). The record is from RNAcentral. Lineage: Eukaryota; Viridiplantae; Streptophyta; Magnoliopsida; Malpighiales; Euphorbiaceae.
GCCAAGCAUCUCAGUGAGAUUGGGGGUGUUAGUGCUUUUAAUAGCUUUGAAAUUGUAUUCUAUACUUUAAAUUACCUCUGAUGUUGGUGUCAAAUUCUGGGUUUCACAUGUGCUCAGGCCAUGCUAGGGCCUAGGUGCAAGCUGUGAACUGUAUCUGUACUGGACAUGCAGCAAUGCAUACCUUCCUCAGAUCCAGAAACUAAAGGCAUUCUGAAUCUUAAGCAUUUUCUAUCACAAUUAUGACAUUAUCUCCUUUGUCCUUUAUAAACGUGAUAUAUUAAGAGUAGGUACGAUCUGGCAUCAUGGUAACUUUUGUUCUGAUAAUCAGAUUGGUUAAGAAUGGGUAAGUUGCAAGACCCUUUUUUUUUUAAUAUAGAAAGAAAGAAAGAAAUUGCAUUAGGAGUGAAAGACAAAAUGAGUUCAAAAAGGUGGGAGAAGUUUCUUCCUAAGCUAGAAUAAGGAGGAAAAGAGAAGAAUCAACCGUUAAUUCAUUUGUGUGCUUUCCAAUGUUCCUGUAUUUCUUUUAUUGAAACCUCUUGAAAUGUAACAGAAGCAUAAGGCCAUAUUAUAACCCGAAACUGUUAUUCGUUACACUAAUCUUUGCAGGAUGCAUUACAUUUCUCCAUGUCAUUUAGGAAAAUGGACU